UACGUAGGGUGCAAGCGUUGUCCGGAAUUAUUGGGCGUAAAGAGCUCGUAGGCGGCUUGUCGCGUCGGCUGUGAAAACCUGGGGCUCAACCCCGGGCCUGCAGCCGAUACGGGCAAGCUAGAAUUCGGUAGGGGAGACUGGAAUUCCUGGUGUAGCGGUGAAAUGCGCAGAUAUCAGGAGGAACACCUGAGGUGAAGACGGGUUGCUGGGCUGACACUGACGCUGAGGCGCGAAAGCUAGGGUAGCAAACGGG
This 253-nucleotide ribosomal RNA is filed under the name uncultured bacterium. RNAcentral's name for it is "partial 16S ribosomal RNA". It matches the Rfam family "Bacterial small subunit ribosomal RNA", at positions 524 to 776 of the family's 1533-position model. The record is from RNAcentral.